Molecule: ribosomal RNA, 245 nt
Filed under: uncultured Actinomycetales bacterium
Lineage: Bacteria; Bacillati; Actinomycetota; Actinomycetes; Actinomycetales
Description: partial 16S ribosomal RNA
Rfam family: Bacterial small subunit ribosomal RNA
Source: RNAcentral
GGCUCGAGUGGCGAACGGGUGAGUAACACGUGAGUAACCUGCCCUUGACUUUGGGAUAACUUCAGGAAACUGGGGCUAAUACCGGAUAGGAGCUCCUGCUGCAUGGUGGGGGUUGGAAAGUUUCGGCGGUUGGGGAUGGGCUCGCGGCUUAUCAGCUUGUUGGUGGGGUAGUGGCUUACCAAGGCUUUGACGGGUAGCCGGCCUGAGAGGGUGACCGGCCACAUUGGGACUGAGAUACGGCCCAG